GACGAACGCUGGCGGCGUGCUUAACACAUGCAAGUCGAACGGAAAGGCCCUGCUUUUGUGGGGUGCUCGAGUGGCGAACGGGUGAGUAACACGUGAGUAACCUGCCCUUGACUUUGGGAUAACUUCAGGAAACUGGGGCUAAUACCGGAUAGGAGCUCCUGCUGCAUGGUGGGGGUUGGAAAGUUUCGGCGGUUGGGGAUGGACUCGCGGCUUAUCAGCUUGUUGGUGGGGUAGUGGCUUACCAAGGCUUUGACGGGUAGCCGGCCUGAGAGGGUGACCGGCCACAUGGGGCCUGAGAUACGGCCCAGACUCCUACGGGAGGCAGCAGUGGGGAAUAUUGCACAAGGGGCGGAAGCCUGAUGCAGCAACGCCGCGUGCGGGAUGACGGCCUUCGGGUUGUAAACCGCUUUCGCCUGUGACGAAGCGUGAGUGACGGUAAUGGGUAAAGAAGCACCGGCUAACUACGC
This 467-nucleotide ribosomal RNA is filed under the name uncultured bacterium. Its description in RNAcentral is "partial 16S ribosomal RNA". It matches the Rfam family "Bacterial small subunit ribosomal RNA", at positions 28 to 506 of the family's 1533-position model. The record is from RNAcentral.